Molecule: long non-coding RNA, 829 nt
Organism: Megalobrama amblycephala (Wuchang bream)
Lineage: Eukaryota; Metazoa; Chordata; Actinopteri; Cypriniformes; Xenocyprididae
Exons: 5
Source: RefSeq, a predicted model, not a curated record
CUAGGUUGCCAACCGCCAAUAAACAACCAAAAAAGAAGUUGGGACUUUCCACGCGCUUUCGUCAUCAUCACCAGCACUCAAUUUUCGCGCUCACCUCGUGCUCUACGGUUACCGGAGGAGGAGGAGGACGAUCUCUAAUGAGAGCGAGUUCAGAGCCAUAUUCAGUCAGGUCUGGAGAUCCGGUGCCCAUUUGGUUGCAACAGGACAUUUAAGAUGGCAACGGUUGGAGUUAAAAAUCAUCAUUCGUGUUCAACUGAAGAAACAAAGUCACCUACAUCUUGGAUGCCCUGGGGGUGAAUCCAUGACCCCAAGCAAGUGGAUGUUGUCCGUCGAGAGGGAAGUUGUCCUGGGCCCAUUUUCAGAGGCAUUUGUUGAGGGUCUGGCAGCAUUGUUUGCGACCUAUUACAACUUGAAUCUUGCUUAUCAGGAUGAUGCUGCAUGCACGCUGGAUUUUAUUCAGAGAGGACUUGUGGGCAUCAACCCGGAAACUGGAUCAAAAGUUGCUGCUGGAAAGCGAGACAAGAAAAUGCAUGGAAUGAACCCACAUGUAUGCACACUGUUACAUAAACUAAUGGACUUUAAAUGGCUUGUCAUUUAAAGUAUUCCAACAGAAUUGAUACCAGAGACUGACCCGAUUUCCAAGUUCAUAUUCUUGCCUUUAAGGUAGGCACAGUUCAGACCAUGUCUUUAGUUUAUGACUUUAGAACACUUUAGGAAUGUGUGCACUGCAUAGUUAAUAUUUAAAGGCAUAGUUCACCCAAAAAUGAAAAUUUGAUGUUUAUCUGCUGACCCCCAGGGCAUCCAAGAUGUAGGUGACUUUGUUUCUUCA